UAGCCGUAAACGAUACUCGCUAGGUGUCGGCCACGGUGCGACCGUUGUCGGUGCCGUAGGGAAGCCGUGAAGCGAGCCACCUGGGAAGUACGGCCGCAAGGCUGAAACUUAAAGGAAUUGGGCGGGGGAGCACCACAACGGGUGGAGCUUGCGGUUUAAUUGGAUUCAACGCCGGAAAUCUUACCGGGACCGACAGCAACAUGAAGGCCAAGCUGAAGACUUUGCCGGAUUAGCUGAGAGGUGGUGCAUGGCGUAGUCCGUGU
Molecule: ribosomal RNA, 263 nt
Filed under: uncultured archaeon
Lineage: Archaea
Description: partial 16S ribosomal RNA
Rfam family: Archaeal small subunit ribosomal RNA
Source: RNAcentral